GACCUCUCCUCUAUGGUCGAAACUCUCCUAGCUACCUCCACCUUUCUGAAACCGUCGAAAUUACUCCAAUCAUCCACUCCUCUGCGAUUAAAUAUUUGAUGUGGUUGAUGGCAUUCAUUCAUAGCAAUAAAUUCAUCUGUCCAGCUUCCAAGCGUUCCUCACAUAUCGCAUACACUAUAUAUGAAUGAUGAACUCUCCUAGGUGUACUUUGUAAGGUUGCUGGUCUAAUACCAAUAUCUCGAGAAGGAGAAUGAUGAUGUGGAUAUCAAAAUUGGCAAAGGCUGUCUGCUUCGUGACAGAUUAACAUGGAAAGGCGGGCAUGACGAAGCUGCAGCUGCUACAAUGUACCUAAAGGACACACUUACUACUGAAGAACAGCAACAACUAAUCACCUGUCUCUCCAAAGAUAAAGUAAAUAAUCCUACCCUUCAUGAGAUCAUAAUCACUCUAAAAGUUAAUCUUUUAAUUGGUCUUUGUAUUGUAUCUGGUUUCUGAAUAGAGGAAAGAAUUAUAGUGGAAAACACUUACGGUUGGGGAGGUUGGGAAAUAAGCCAGAAAAUGCAACAAAAUAAGUAUCAAUAAGGAAAAAAAGAGUGCUCUGAUUUUAUGAAAGCAGUCAGAAACUACUACUCUUGGUUGUGUUGAAGUUAGCUUCUUAGUACUGAGAGAAAACAAUGUACACAAUCUAUAGAUAAUAUUAUAUUCGAUUUAUUAUUCCAAAGAAAACCUUAGAAAUCAAUGGGAUGACGUGAUCAUAGUCCAGAUUUGCCAAUGUUAUUUGUGUUACGUCGGCUCUUCUUCCGGGCUCUUUUUCCUGUACCACGGCUCUUGCUGCCCUUUUUGGAAGGUAUGUUUGCUCGCUUCGACCAAACCCAUCUCAUAGUCACUAAGAUUCGAUUUUAAGUGUAGGUUUGUUUGCUCAUGAUUGUUGUUCUCUGUUUCUUGAGACAAAUGCAGGGGAUUGCAGAGCUGUUCUCUGUAAGAAGGUGAAGCAAUAAACAUGUCUCAAGACGACAGACCAAUCUACUUA
Brassica oleracea var. oleracea is the source of this 1030-nucleotide long non-coding RNA. RefSeq lists it as uncharacterized. NCBI's taxonomy places the organism in Eukaryota, Viridiplantae, Streptophyta, Magnoliopsida, Brassicales, Brassicaceae. The transcript is spliced from 2 exons. The record is from RefSeq and is a predicted model, not a curated record.